GGGCGCUGGAGAAUUGAGGGGGGCUGCUCCUAGUACGAGAGGACCGGAGUGGACGCAUCACUGGUGUUCGGGUUGUCAUGCCAAUGGCACUGCCCGGUAGCUAAAUGCGGAAGAGAUAAGUGCUGAAAGCAUCUAAGCACGAAACUUGCCCCGAGAUGAGUUCUCCCUGAGACCUUGAGUCUCCUGAAGGAACGUUAAAGACGAUGACGUUGAUAGGUCGGGUGUGUAAGCGCAGCGAUGCGUUGAGCUAACCGAUACUAAUGAACCGUGAGGCUUAACCUU
RNAcentral lists this ribosomal RNA (282 nucleotides) under Enterobacter hormaechei. RNAcentral's name for it is "partial 23S ribosomal RNA". It matches the Rfam family "Bacterial large subunit ribosomal RNA", at positions 2649 to 2925 of the family's 2925-position model. The record is from RNAcentral. Lineage: Bacteria; Pseudomonadati; Pseudomonadota; Gammaproteobacteria; Enterobacterales; Enterobacteriaceae.